This is a long non-coding RNA of Anneissia japonica, 1459 nucleotides long. RefSeq lists it as uncharacterized. Lineage: Eukaryota; Metazoa; Echinodermata; Crinoidea; Comatulida; Comatulidae. The record is from RefSeq and is a predicted model, not a curated record. The transcript has 4 exons.
CUCCUCCAUCCAUCACACCCAGCCCCAUUGGAUAGCAUUUCACCUUGAUGCUGCAAAUGUUUAUAUAUGAUUUUACAAAAGGUUGAUGUAGAAGUUGAAAACAUUUUUAGUCCUACUACGGUCCAAAAGGGGGUUCGCCCCUCCCCCUAACUCCGCCCCAAUUAUAGGCCCUGUGUUUAUAACUUGGCCAAGCGGAUAAUUAACUUUUGGAAGUGGUUAUUCACACGGUAGACCAUGCGAAUAAGCUCUUAUGAGUCUUAUUCGCACGGUAGACCUAGCCAAUCAGCAUUUGACGUUUCAUGACGUCUAACCGUGCGAAUAAGUUCUUAUUCCCAAUUAGUACAGUACAUCGUGAAUUAACAAUAUUAAGGUUUAAUGACCUAAAUAUUUUACGAGAAACUUACUUAAUUUGUUACGGGAAUACCUAAUUGAACCGAAAUACCUUUUCAGAUAUCAUACAAACAUUGUCUGCCGUGCAAAUAGUAAAUAAUACAUUAUUUGCACGGUAGACGUAGCCAAUCAGCAUCGUAGAAUGUACUGACACUGUCUUCAAAAAAAGCGCCAAUAAAAGUUUUCUUCUUUGUUUGGCUUCUGGCAAUGUUCACAAUCACAAAAGCAGCCAUGAAAGCCUGAUGUCAAUGAAGGUCGGUCAGGCAUUUAAUGAUUAUGUACAAUUCUUUUGUUGAUUUCAUUAAAGAAAUUUCAGGACGAAAAUAACCUUGUUGUAGAGUACUGCACAUACAACAAUCUUUCGACAAUUAUCACAGCUCCCAUGGUCUCUGAGCGCUAUGUGGUUUGUGUAUAUAAUUAGGCCUACAAUCAAUGUAUUCAGUAGCAUUUCGAAAACACUCCCACACAUUGGAAAAGGUCCAAAAGGCAGUGAAGAAUGUACAUCUUAUUUUCCAGUACAAUAUAUAGUACAUAUAUUCGGUGGUGGAUCCAGGAUUUAUUAUGGUAGAGAGGGAUUAGGAGAGACUUUUAGAGAUGUGCGAGUCUACAGGUGGCGUUCUACAUAUACAUUACUCAAUGGACUACGAAGAAGACUGCAAUUAAUAACAAAUUUCAUGACAGACAAGUGUAUAUUUAAAUUUGACCUCAUUGGAAAUGUACUGGACUUGGCUUAAUGGGCGUUCCUGAUGCUCGUGAUGUAGACAAAGAAGCCACAACUAUCAGAAAAGAAUGUCCGGACUGAAAGGGCAACAGAACUUUCAAAUUAUUCAUAGAUAGUAAUAUUGUAUUAUUACUGCUAAUGUUUAUCUUAUUAAUAUAGUAGCCCGUUUGUUGUGAAGAAUAUAGACAUGUAAGAUAAUAAGAUAUAACAUUUUGAGGAUUAAAAUCAGGUCUAUUGAUUUUUACCGGAUGUACAUGAUAUAAACCUACAGUAUACAUAAAUAUAAAAUGUAUACAUAUAUCCCAACUUGAUUUCAAUGCUUGAAAAUAAAUAUCAAAUGAAAUUGUG